This 134-nucleotide ribosomal RNA is filed under the name uncultured eukaryote. RNAcentral describes it as "partial small subunit ribosomal RNA". It matches the Rfam family "Eukaryotic small subunit ribosomal RNA", at positions 1651 to 1775 of the family's 1831-position model. The record is from RNAcentral.
CCCUGCCAUUUGUACACACCGCCCGUCGCUACUACCGAUUGGAAGUUUUAGUGAGGCAUUUGGACCUGCUAUCCAUAAGUUGGGGCAACUCAGCUAGGGAAUUGGCGGGGAAGUCUGUCGAACUCAAAUUUCUA